This is a long non-coding RNA of Drosophila subpulchrella, 257 nucleotides long. RefSeq lists it as uncharacterized. The record is from RefSeq and is a predicted model, not a curated record. Lineage: Eukaryota; Metazoa; Arthropoda; Insecta; Diptera; Drosophilidae. The transcript has 3 exons.
ACGACGCGAAAGUUUAAGCUGAGAGCGGACAGUUGCACAGCGAAAAAAAAUGGGUUAAAAGUGCAGUUCCAGUCGAUUGGGGAUAUUACAAGGAAAUUAACUUGAAAUCAUACCAAUUUUAUUCGAAUUCGGAAAACUACAAGGGAUGACACAAAUGGCUUUAAAGCCCCAGUUUUUUCAGUGCACGUAUGUACUAGCGUCCUGCCAAUUUUCAAUUGGAUUUCCAAAAGGCGCCGAAAUAAUUGCGGAUACCCUGG